Molecule: small nucleolar RNA, 71 nt
Organism: Girardinichthys multiradiatus
Lineage: Eukaryota; Metazoa; Chordata; Actinopteri; Cyprinodontiformes; Goodeidae
Product: small nucleolar RNA U54
Exons: 1
Source: RefSeq, a predicted model, not a curated record
UGAGCAAUGAGGAUAAAAAAAACUUGACAGGUAUUAACCGUGGUGACUGUAUACGCUAUUCUGAGCCGUGG